RNAcentral lists this ribosomal RNA (466 nucleotides) under uncultured bacterium. RNAcentral's name for it is "partial 16S ribosomal RNA". It matches the Rfam family "Bacterial small subunit ribosomal RNA", at positions 339 to 795 of the family's 1533-position model. The record is from RNAcentral.
CUACGGGUGGCUGCAGUGAGGAAUUUUGCGCAAUGGGGGAAACCCUGACGCAGCAACGCCGCGUGAGUGAAGAAGGCCUUCGGGUCGUAAAGCUCUGUCAACUGGGAAGAAGUUACGAUUGGUUAAUAGAAGUUUGUAUUGACGGUACCUGUGGAGGAAGCGCCGGCUAACUCCGUGCCAGCAGGCCGCGGUAACACGGGGGGCGCAAGCGUUAUUCGGAAUUAUUGGGCGUAAAGGGCGCGCAGGCGGUCUUGUCCGUCAGUUGUGAAAGCCCGGGGCUCAACCUCGGAAGUGCACUUGAAACAGUAAGACUUGAAUACGGGAGAGGAAAGCGGAAUUCCUGGUGUAGAGGUGAAAUUCGUAGAUAUCAGGAGGAACACCGAUGGCGAAGGCAGCUUUCUGGACCGAUACUGACGCUGAGGUGCGAAGGCGUGGGGAGCAAACGGGAUUAGAUACCCGAGUAGUC